UGCUUUGCUGCUACAAUACUGCUAGAUCUUCUUCUUUUGCCUUCACUUGCAUUCCUCAUCCUUCACAUUCCUUCUUAGAUGCCCCUUUCUUUAUGCAUUAACUCAGCUUCAUUCCUCAGUCUAGUACAAGCUCACAAUGCUUUGCCACUUCCAUGCCAUUGACAUGCCUUAUCGGUUUCCUUGAUGCAACCUACAAAAUAAUGAUAAAAAGCAAUCAAACAAUACUAUAAAU
RNAcentral lists this long non-coding RNA (232 nucleotides) under Panax ginseng (ginseng). RNAcentral describes it as "long non-coding RNA (PGIN_LNC002583)". The record is from RNAcentral. Lineage: Eukaryota; Viridiplantae; Streptophyta; Magnoliopsida; Apiales; Araliaceae.